UUGACAAGGAAGAAGAGAGGAUCCCCGGGCCUCACGCCGUGGGAGGGCCACGCGGGCCGGGGACGUGUGGGAGGAACUCCCGAGCUGCACGUUGUGGUGGAGGUGGAUGACAACCUCGCUCCCCUCCCCUCCCCUCCACUCAGUGGAGGGCUGGGGACCGGAGGGCCCGGCCUCCCCCCAUCUUCUCCAGUUCUUAGGAAAGGAGGGAUUCCCGCCUCCCGCGAGCCCCCUCUCUCCACCCCCGCCGCCUCUCCCGCCAGGCUCCCCACUCCUAUACUAGGGAGCCACAGCGCCCCCCGGGCUGUCCUCCGCCAGCGCGGCUCAGGGAGGGAGAGCGCUGCAGCGGUCCCGCGCUCCGAUUCCGGUCCCAAGAUUUGCAUAUUUUGGCAUCCAGUGGAAAAGGAAAGAAGAACGGAACCCGCAGCCUUUAAAGGAACCGCACAGGCUGAUCUCUCCCCAGGAGGGGCUGCAGAGUGAGGAGCUAGAAGCCCUUAUCCUGUUCGACUGGGGCCUGAGUUGGGAAAGGCAGAGGCAGUGGAAGCAUUUGGGAUCCUUAAGCUUCCAGGGCCCCAGAGGCUGUGGAGUGCAGCCACUCCCAACUGGAGGAGACGGCCUCUCUCCCAACACUUUUCGGCACGCUGGACUUGUUGCUUCCAAGUAGAAGAGCAUGGGGCAAGGUUUGCUGACCUGCACCAGGGCUUGCUUACCCGUCAGCAAGAUUGGAUAGGAGUCUGGGGACACGAUUCCUUCCCUCUCCUUUCUACUAGUUCUUUGCAUAAAACGGGAGCCUUCAAUUCAAUUAAAGUCUUCAUUAAAGCUUCACUGUGACCUUGGGCAAA
Long non-coding RNA from Homo sapiens (human), 839 nucleotides. RefSeq lists it as uncharacterized. Lineage: Eukaryota; Metazoa; Chordata; Mammalia; Primates; Hominidae. The record is from RefSeq and is a predicted model, not a curated record. The transcript has 3 exons.